AUGCAAGUCGAGCGGACAGAUGGGAGCUUGCUCCCUGAUGUUAGCGGCGGACGGGUGAGUAACACGUGGGUAACCUGCCUGUAAGACUGGGAUAACUCCGGGAAACCGGGGCUAAUACCGGAUGGUUGUUUGAACCGCAUGGUUCAGACAUAAAAGGUGGCUUCGGCUACCACUUACAGAUGGACCCGCGGCGCAUUAGCUAGUUGGUGAGGUAACGGCUCACCAAGGCGACGAUGCGUAGCCGACCUGAGAGGGUGAUCGGCCACACUGGGACUGAGACACGGCCCAGACUCCUACGGGAGGCAGCAGUAGGGAAUCUUCCGCAAUGGACGAAAGUCUGACGGAGCAACGCCGCGUGAGUGAUGAAGGUUUUCGGAUCGUAAAGCUCUGUUGUUAGGGAAGAACAAGUGCCGUUCAAAUAGGGCGGCACCUUGACGGUACCUAACCAGAAAGCCACGGCUAACUACGUGCCAGCAGCCGCGGUAAUACGUAGGUGGCAAGCGUUGUCCGGAAUUAUUGGGCGUAAAGGGCUCGCAGGCGGUUUCUUAAGUCUGAUGUGAAAGCCCCCGGCUCAACCGGGGAGGGUCAUUGGAAACUGGGGAACUUGAGUGCAGAAGAGGAGAGUGGAAUUCCACGUGUAGCGGUGAAAUGCGUAGAGAUGUGGGAGGAACACCAGUGGCGAAGGCGACUCUCUGGUCUGUAACUGACGCUGAGGAGCGAAAGCGUGGGGAGCGAACAGGGAUUAGA
Molecule: ribosomal RNA, 747 nt
Filed under: Bacillus sp. (in: firmicutes)
Lineage: Bacteria; Bacillati; Bacillota; Bacilli; Caryophanales; Bacillaceae
Description: bacterial SSU rRNA
Rfam family: Bacterial small subunit ribosomal RNA
Source: RNAcentral